RNAcentral lists this ribosomal RNA (427 nucleotides) under uncultured bacterium. RNAcentral's name for it is "bacterial SSU rRNA". It matches the Rfam family "Bacterial small subunit ribosomal RNA", at positions 354 to 796 of the family's 1533-position model. The record is from RNAcentral.
GUGAGGAAUAUUGGUCAAUGGGCGAAAGCCUGAACCAGCAACGCCGCGUGAGGGAUGAAGGCCUUCGGGUCGUAAACCUCUUUUCUGGGAGAAGAGACAAGGACGGUAUCCCAGGAAUAAGUCUCGGCUAACUACGUGCCAGCAGCCGCGGUAAAACGUAGGAGGCAAGCGUUAUCCGGAUUUACUGGGCGUAAAGCGCACGCAGGCGGCUGCGUAAGUCGGACGUGAAAGCUCCUGGCUCAACUGGGAGAGGUCGUUCGAAACUGCGCGGCUUGAGGUUGGAAGAGGAGAGCGGAAUUCCCGGUGUAGUGGUGGAAUGCGUAGAUAUCGGGAGGAACACCAGUGGCGAAAGCGGCUCUCUGGUCCACACCUGACGCUCAGGUGCGAAAGCGUGGGUAGCGAACGGGAUUAGAUACCCGAGUAGUCC